AUGCAGUGUUUCUUUCUGGGAGAAGCCUUAGGCUCAAUGAGACUAAGCAAACAUACCAAGACCUCAUCUAAAGAGAUCAGUAAUAUCUUUUCCAGUAGGAAAGUAUCCUCACUGAGCUUCAAUGCCGAAGUUUCUGCAUAUCUAGACCCCAAAGGUUCCCAGGCUCCACAGGCACACCUUGGGCUCCAGACAAGGGACUUCACCUCUGCACAUGCUGGACACAGCACAGAUACCACCUAUAAAGUGUUGAAGGAUCAAGACCAGGAAGCCAGAGCAGGCAGAACAGCCUUGGAUCAGCCAUUAAGCAAAAGAUAUAGGGGGAGAAGGGAAAAGAAAAAAAAAAGGAGACUGCCUGCAAGUUUUGCACUGACUAACUGCUCCUUAAAAACUCAGAAAGUGUUGUGCUUUUUGGAGCUGAGAGUCACCUGUGACUGAAACAAAGGUACAAUUUCCAGAGGCCACCUGGGAUUUGACUGUUCAAUUAAACAAAUAGAAAUGGAACGUCCUACUCCUCUGAGGUGCUUAGGAAAAAUUCAUCUCUAAAUGCAGCAGCUUAGUGAAGUUACA
RNAcentral lists this long non-coding RNA (567 nucleotides) under Phasianus colchicus (ring-necked pheasant). RNAcentral describes it as "lncRNA (ENSPCLG00000009217.1)". Lineage: Eukaryota; Metazoa; Chordata; Aves; Galliformes; Phasianidae. The record is from RNAcentral.